UGGGGAAUAUUGCACAAUGGGGGAAACCCUGAUGCAGCAACGCCGCGUGCGUGAUGACGGCCUUCGGGUUGUAAACCGCUUUCAGCCAUGACGAAGCUUUUGUGACGGUAGUGGCAGAAGAAGCACCGGCUAACUACGUGCCAGCAGCCGCGGUGAUACGUAGGGUGCGAGCGUUGUCCGGAAUUAUUGGGCGUAAAGAGCUUGUAGGCGGUUUGUCGCGUCGAAAGUGUAAACUCAGUGCUUAACGCUGAGCCUGCUUUCGAUACGGGCUGACUAGAGGAAGGUAGGGGAGAAUGGAAUUCCCGGUGGAGCGGUGGAAUGCGCAGAUAUCGGGAGGAACACCAGUGGCGAAGGCGGUUCUCUGGACCUUUCCUGACGCUGAGAAGCGAAAGCGUGGGUAGCAAACAGG
This 409-nucleotide ribosomal RNA is filed under the name bacterium. RNAcentral's name for it is "partial 16S ribosomal RNA". It matches the Rfam family "Bacterial small subunit ribosomal RNA", at positions 355 to 776 of the family's 1533-position model. The record is from RNAcentral.